Molecule: ribosomal RNA, 252 nt
Filed under: uncultured bacterium
Lineage: Bacteria
Description: partial 16S ribosomal RNA
Rfam family: Bacterial small subunit ribosomal RNA
Source: RNAcentral
UACGUAGGGGGCAAGCGUUGUCCGGAAUUAUUGGGCGUAAAGCGCGCGCAGGCGGUCAUUUAAGUCUGGUGUUUAAGCCCGGGGCUCAACCCCGGUUCGCAUCGGAAACUGGGUGACUGGAGUGCAGGAGAGGAAAGUGGAAUUCCACGUGUAGCGGUGAAAUGCGUAGAGAUGUGGAGGAACACCAGUGGCGAAGGCGACUUUCUGGCCUGUAACUGACGCUGAGGCGCGAAAGCGUGGGGAGCAAACAGG